This 86-nucleotide ribosomal RNA is filed under the name Pseudomonas putida. The record is from RNAcentral. RNAcentral also lists the same sequence under 25 other names. Lineage: Bacteria; Pseudomonadati; Pseudomonadota; Gammaproteobacteria; Pseudomonadales; Pseudomonadaceae.
GAUCCCAUCCCGAACUCAGCAGUGAAACGAUGCAUCGCCGAUGGUAGUGUGGGGUUUCCCCAUGUGAGAGUAGGUCAUCGUCAAGA